CUGUGUUCAGCGCCCCGCCUAGAAAGGUGCUGAUAACACACGCUGGGUGUUGUUAGUGCCUUUCUGGGUAGAGCGAUGGUCUACAA
Non-coding RNA from Ailuropoda melanoleuca (giant panda), 86 nucleotides. The record is from Rfam. NCBI's taxonomy places the organism in Eukaryota, Metazoa, Chordata, Mammalia, Carnivora, Ursidae.